This 460-nucleotide ribosomal RNA is filed under the name uncultured bacterium. RNAcentral describes it as "partial 16S ribosomal RNA". It matches the Rfam family "Bacterial small subunit ribosomal RNA", at positions 338 to 795 of the family's 1533-position model. The record is from RNAcentral.
CCUACGGGUGGCAGCAGUGAGGAAUAUUGGUCAAUGGGCGGAAGCCUGAACCAGCCAAGUCGCGUGAGGGAUGACGGCCCUACGGGUUGUAAACCUCUUUUGUACGGGAGCAACGCGCCUUACGUGUCGCGCUUUGCAUGUACCGCAAGAAAAAGGAUCGGCUAAUUCCGUGCCCGCAGGCCCCGUAAUACGGAAGGUCCGGAGGGUAUCCGGGUUUGUUGGGGUUUAAGGGGUCGUCGGCCGGAUGUCAAAGGUGGCGUUAAAAUUUCGGGGUCAACCCCGGUCGUGCCGUUGAAACUGGCGGGCUUGAGUGCGCGGGAAGUAGGCGGAAUGCGUGGUGUAGCGGUGAAAUGCUUAGAUAUCACGAAGAACCCCGAUUGCGAAGGCAGCAUGCCGGCGCGCAACUGACGCUGAUGCACGAAAGCGCGGGUAUCGAACAGGAUUAGAUACCCCUGUAGUC